Molecule: non-coding RNA, 2522 nt
Organism: Odocoileus virginianus texanus
Lineage: Eukaryota; Metazoa; Chordata; Mammalia; Artiodactyla; Cervidae
Source: RefSeq, a predicted model, not a curated record
AGUGCUUCCCGCAAGAUUAGAUUAACAGUGUCUCCAAAAAUGGUUACCAUACUUUAAGAAAUUUUAAGCUUAUUUCAGAACUAUAAAUCUAGAAGACUUACAGGGAACUAGUGAUAAAUCUCUUGGCUUGUUUUCCCCUUUAUUAUUUUGGAUCUGUGUACAAUCUGAAAUAGCAAAUGACAUACAGUUUGGGAGACAGUUCAUUUGUAACUUCAACGGAUCUGAGGAAUACAGUCACUUCAUGCACCCCUGCAGAUCUUUCCAUUUAAAGUAGUUUAUUGCUGGAAAGAAAGCGAAUGGAGGGAGUUUCAGUAAGGAACUGAAUGGGUUAAUGAUUGAACAUGAUGAUUGAAAACAAGCGUCUAUGGUUGAUUGGGACACAAUUAUGAGGAGAAAGCAUUAUAUAUAAAUAGUAAAGUAAUGGUAUGUUACUGAAAUCUAAGAAAAGUAGAAUGAGACAAAAUAUCUCUAGUGUUUUAAUGUUCCGUUUGAUAGUACUUUGGAUAAGUUUCAUAAGGGAGAUGGUUGAGAUCACUAAUCCUUAGUACAUGAACCAAGAAAUAGAAAUUGUGUUUAUCAUAGAAAGUAAUUUUGGCCCAUAAAGUAGUAGAGACUCUUUAAUAGAGGAAUGUUUUUGUCUGUAAUCUCUCUGAUUCAAUGCCAAAUAUUUUUCAGAGAAUAUUCAAAGCUGUGCCUAAGUUUCAUUGUUGAAAACUGACAGCUGCUAUAUUUCUUUUUGAUAACUGAUUGAAGCUCUUUCUGUUAUGCCUUCUCUGUUGCUAAAUUCCUUAAGUUUAAAUAAGUGUUUAAAGUAAGAACUUUAUGAAACUAAAAAAAAUAUAUAAUAAAGUAAGAACUUUAUGAAACUAAAGCUUUAUUCUGUAGAUUGGAUAAUACUUCUUUUGUGACAUUUUCUUUUCCCACCGAAAGUGAGAAGUGAAUGCCUUGCCUUGGUACAUCCCAUUUCUAAUGGAGGACAAGAAGUCAUUUUCUUCAAUGGCUGACUUCCAGAAUUUCUGCCUGAACGUUCUUUGUCAAGUGUAUAUUCCCUUCUCUAGGCCUUUCUAUAUAGAGCCCACAAACAUCGUCAAUGUGAAUGAUGUCAUUCAGAGGGUUAGCGACCAUGCCUCUGCCAUGAACAAGAGGAUUCAUUACUACAACCGGCUCACCGCUCCUGCAGACAGGGCGCUGAUUGCCCCAGAUCAUGUAGUUCCAGGUCCAGAAGAGUGCUAUGUGUAUAGCCCGUUGGGUUCUGCUUAUAAACUUCAAAGUUACACUGAAGGAUAUGGUAAAAACACCAGUUUAGUAACCAUUUUUAUGAUUUGGAAUACCAUGCUGGGAACAUCUAUACUAAGUAUUCCUUGGGGCAUAAAACAGGCUGGGUUUACUACUGGAAUGUGUGUCAUCAUGCUGAUGGGCCUUCUAACACUUUACUGCUGCUACAGAGUAGUGAAAUCAAGAUCUAUGAUAUCAUCAGUGGAUACCACUACCUGGGAAUAUCCAGAUGUCUGCAGAUAUUAUUUUGGCUCCUUUGGGCAGUGGUCAAGUCUCCUGUUCUCCUUGGUAUCUCUCAUUGGAGCAAUGAUAGUAUAUUGGGUGCUGAUGUCUAAUUUUCUUUUUAAUACUGGAAAAUUUAUUUUUAAUUUUAUUCAUCACAUUAAUGACACAGACCCUAUACCGAGUACCAACGAUAGCAACCCUGUGAUUUGUCCAAGUGCCAGGAGCGGCGGCCAUCCUGACAACGGCUCUAUGAUCUUCUAUGCCAGUGACUCGGGACUCCAACAGUUUGAAAAGUGGUGGAAUAAGUCCAAGACAGUGCCCUUUUACCUCAUAGGGCUCCUUCUGCCACUGCUUAAUUUCAAAUCUCCUUCAUUUUUUUCAAAAUUUAACAUCCUAGGCACAGUGUCCGUUCUCUACUUGAUUUUUCUCGUCACUUGGAAGGCUAUUCGCUUGGGAUUUCAUUUGGAGUUUCAUUGGUUUACACCAACAGAAUUUUUUGUCCCAGAGAUAAGAUUUAAUUUUCCACAACUGACUGGGGUGCUUACGCUUGCUUUCUUUAUUCAUAAUUGUAUUAUCACACUCUUGAAGAAUAACAAGAACCAAGAAAACAAUGUGAGGGACUUGUCCAUUGCUUAUAUGCUGGUGACAUUAACUUAUCUCUAUAUUGGAAUCCUGGUUUUUGCUUCAUUUCCUUCACCACCAUUAUCCAAAGAUUGUAUAGAGCAGAAUUUUUUAGACAACUUCCCUAGCAGUGACAUCCUGUCCUUCAUUGCAAGGAUAUUCCUGCUGUUCCAGAUGAUGACUGUGUAUCCACUCCUAGGCUACUUGGCUCGCGUUCAGCUAUUGGGUCAUGUCUUCGGUGACAUUUAUCCUAGGUAAGGGCUCUUCUCUUGACCAGCAAGAUGUGCCAAGCAACAAAUGACUGUGCAAACAGCAUUUUCCACGUGUUGAUUUUUAAUCUGUUCAUUGUGGGAGCUGGAGUGAUCAUGGCCUGUUUCUACCCAAACAUAGGAGGAAUCAUA